UGCGGAAGGAUCAUUAUUGAAUACGUCUCUUCGGAGACUCAAUAUAUAUACCUCUGUGAACUGUUUGGCCCUCGGGCCGAUUACAAACAUUGUGUAAUGAACGUAGUUUAUUUUAACAAAAAAUAACUUUCAACAACGGAUCUCUUGGCUCUCGCAUCGAUGAAGAACGCAGCGAAAUGCGAUAAGUAAUGUGAAUUGCAGAAUUCAGUGAAUCAUCGAAUCUUUGAACGCACCUUGCGCCUUUUGGUAUUCCGAAAGGCAUGCCUGUUUGAGUGUCAUGAAAUCUCAAUCCCCUCGGGUUUUACGACCUGAGGUGGACUUGGACUUGGGUGUCUGCUGGUUGACGCUGGCUCGCCUCAAAUGACUUAGUGGGAUUAGCUUCCUAUACGCCUGACGUGAUAAGUUUCGUCAAGGCUUGGUCGCGACGUCUGCUCAUAACCCGCCCUCGGGCAAUUACUUUUUGCUUGACCUCAAAUCAGGUAGGACUACCCGCUGAACUUAAGCAUAUCAAUA
RNAcentral lists this ribosomal RNA (513 nucleotides) under Tremellales sp. PNB099A. RNAcentral describes it as "eukaryotic LSU rRNA". The stretch from base 125 to 278 matches the Rfam family "5.8S ribosomal RNA". Lineage: Eukaryota; Fungi; Basidiomycota; Tremellomycetes; Tremellales. The record is from RNAcentral.